This is a small nucleolar RNA of Ornithorhynchus anatinus (platypus), 138 nucleotides long. NCBI's taxonomy places the organism in Eukaryota, Metazoa, Chordata, Mammalia, Monotremata, Ornithorhynchidae. The record is from RefSeq and is a predicted model, not a curated record.
CCCCUCUCAGGAUCACACCUGGAGAGUUCCCAGUACUCUACCAGUCUCGACUAUGGGAGGAAGAGUCAAGUAGAGGCAUAUCCAUUCCAUUCCUAGCAUGGGCAGUGGUUAGCAAGUGGAAGGCAGUCUGCUACAAGU